GGUGAACGCUGGCGGUGGGCCUAACACAUGCAAGUCGAACGGCAGCACAGUAAGAGCUUGCUCUUACGGGUGGCGAGUGGCGGACGGGUGAGGCAUACAUCGGAAUCUACUUUUUCGUGGGGGAUAACGUAGGGAAACUUACGCUAAUACCGCAUACGACCUACGGGUGAAAGCAGGGGAUCUUCGGACCUUGCGCGAUUGAAUGAGCCGAUGUCGGAUUAGCUAGUUGGCGAGGUAAAGGCCCACCAAGGCGACGAUCCGUAGCUGGUCUGAGAGGAUGAUCAGCCACACUGGAACUGAGACACGGUCCAGACUCCUACGGGAGGCAGCAGUGGGGAAUAUUGGACAAAGGGCGCAAGCCUGAUCGAGCAAUGCCGCGUGGGUGAAGAAGGCCUUCGGAUUGUAAAGCCCUGUUGUUGGGAAAGAAAAGCAGCAGGUUAAUACCCCGCUGUUCUGACGGUACCCAAAGAAUAAGCCCCGGCUAACUUCGUG
Molecule: ribosomal RNA, 492 nt
Filed under: uncultured bacterium
Lineage: Bacteria
Description: partial 16S ribosomal RNA
Rfam family: Bacterial small subunit ribosomal RNA
Source: RNAcentral